UGCUCGCAAAUAAUAAAACCCGAACCCUGAAGGCGCAAUGAAAGUGAAGGUCGGUGGUCUGACUGACAGAGGCGGGAUCCGUCCGGGCAUCGAUCGCGGUCGCAAGGCCGCGGCGAGCCCGGCGGCGCACCGUCGGCCCGUCUCGAUNNNNNNNNGUCGGCGAGGCGGAGCAAGAGCGCACACGUUGGGACCCGAAAGAUGGUGAACUAUGCUCGGGCAGGACGAAGCCAGAGGAAACUCUGGUGGAGGUCCGUAGCGAUUCUGACGUGCAAAUCGAUCGUCGGACCCGAGUAUAGG
Molecule: ribosomal RNA, 297 nt
Filed under: Cormocephalus multispinus
Lineage: Eukaryota; Metazoa; Arthropoda; Chilopoda; Scolopendromorpha; Scolopendridae
Description: partial 28S ribosomal RNA
Rfam family: Eukaryotic large subunit ribosomal RNA
Source: RNAcentral